This 376-nucleotide ribosomal RNA is filed under the name uncultured bacterium. Its description in RNAcentral is "bacterial SSU rRNA". It matches the Rfam family "Bacterial small subunit ribosomal RNA", at positions 523 to 898 of the family's 1533-position model. The record is from RNAcentral.
AAACGUAGGUGGCAAGCGUUGUCCGGAAUUACUGGGUGUAAAGGGAGCGCAGGCGGGCUCGCAAGUUGGGAGUGAAAUCUAUGGGCUUAACUCAUAAAUUGCUUUCAAAACUGUGAGUCUUGAGUGGUGUAGAGGUAGGCGGAAUUCCCGGUGUAGCGGUGGAAUGCGUAGAUAUCGGGAGGAACACCAGUGGCGAAGGCGGCCUACUGGGCACUAACUGACGCUGAGGCUCGAAAGUAUGGGUAGCAAACAGGAUUAGAUACCCUGGUAGUCCAUACUGUAAACGAUGAUUACUAGGUGUGGGAGGAUUGACCCCUUCCGUGCCGCAGUUAACACAAUAAGUAAUCCACCUGGGGAGUACGACCGCAAGGUUGAA